CCCAUCCCACCCCAGGGCCUCUAAGCAGCUCUGGGUGUGUGCUAAGAGCAGAGUAGGUGGACUGAGUGAGGGGCGGAAAGCAGAUGGCUUCACGGGAUUCCAGGCCCCGUCCACCUGGGGCCACCUGUCCAAGGGUGGAGACACAAGGUCCUAUUACACUAAUGAGCGGGGAGCCUCCUGCCACCUUUGACCCAAUUCCUCCGUCUCUGAGGCGAAGGGAAAGAGUGUGGCUGCUUUCCAGGGCCCAAGGCUGACCGCCAUCUUUUCGCGAAUCCAGAAAGCUCCCCCUCCUGCUUUGAGCAAGAGUGUGUGUCGCAGGCGCACGGAGUUUGCUUCUGGGGUCCUUGUGCCUCCGUAGUCUCAUGUCCUCCCAUGCCUGUUUAUUUCAGUGCACCCAGUGGGUGACGCUGCCACGUCCAGGACACUGGACUGGAGCCACCUUUACAGAACCGGUUUGAAAUCAAACAGUGCCGUGGCACACAAGCCAGCUGAGCCAGAGGUGUCCAUGGCCAAGAGGGCCAAAGGCCGAAGGACCAGGGCAGACAAUGGUACAUAUGGGGGAGCUGGCCCUUGUCUACCAGGGAGCUAGAAGGUGACCAAUGGACCUGUGCCAGCCCGGGGAGCAUGUAGCUAUCGCUCCUCACCUUGGAGGUGAGGAGACUGACGAGCCCUCACGGCCAGUCAAGGGCAGGGCUCCGCAUGGGAUUCUGGACCAGCCCAUCUACUCCAGCAUCGCUGCCGAGUCCCUGACAAGCCUUUCUCCACAUCUCUGCAGUGUGAACACCCAGGCGCCUCCAUUCAGGCCUGGCUCAGUAGCCAAACGAGUCUAGUGAUGUCAUCGUUGCCAUGGAAACUCUCCCCAGGCGUCAGGCAGGACCAACCUCCCCUGUGCCGUUUCCCUUUGUGUGGACUUUGCAAUGCGUUGCCAAGGCAGUGAGGCCUGCUGGGAGGCCUGGGUUCGAUUCCCAGCACCCGAAUGGCAGCUCUGGACGUAACUAAUUCCAGGGGAUUUGACAAGCUCUUCUGAAGGUACCAGGCACGCACAUUGCUCUGAGGCAUACAAGCAGGUAAACACUCUCAGGCAGGCACGAAAUAAGUUAUUUAUUGGUGUGGGUGUGGGUCACAGCCUUCGUGGGGAAGUCGGAAGAUAACCAUGUAGCUGGUCAGCUCCUUCAUGCUUUACAUAGGUCCUGGGGACUGAAUUCACAUCGCUGAACCUGUGUAGCCAUCACUCCUAGCUACCGAGCGAGCCCUCUAGCCACCCGCAAUGGAUGGAAACAUCUUUUAACUGACAUGUACACAUCUGAGGACUAAACCAGGAUCUUUCGUGGUAAGUAGUAGUUACCU
This 1347-nucleotide small RNA is filed under the name Rattus norvegicus (Norway rat). RNAcentral describes it as "uncharacterized LOC102555690". The record is from RNAcentral. Lineage: Eukaryota; Metazoa; Chordata; Mammalia; Rodentia; Muridae.